UACGUAGGGGGCAAGCGUUGUCCGGAAUUAUUGGGCGUACAGCGCGCGCAGGCGGUCGAUUAAGUCUGGUGUAUAAACCAAGGGCUCACCCUUUGGACGCAUUGGAAACUGGUCGACUGGAGUGUAGGAGAGGAAAGUGGAAUUCCACGUGUAGCGGUGAAAUGCGUAGAGAUGUGGAGGAACACCAGUGGCGAAGGCGACUUUCGGGACUAUAACUGAUGCUGAGGCGCGAAAGCGUGGGGAGCAAACAGG
Molecule: ribosomal RNA, 252 nt
Filed under: uncultured bacterium
Lineage: Bacteria
Description: partial 16S ribosomal RNA
Rfam family: Bacterial small subunit ribosomal RNA
Source: RNAcentral